UGGUAGUGUAUUGGACAACCAUGGCAUUCACGGGCCAUCGGGGGAUUAGGGUUCGAUUCCGGAGAGGGAGCCUGAUAAACGGCUACCACUUCUACGGAAGGCAGCAGGCGCGGAAAUUAUCCAAUCCUGAUUCAGGGAGGUAGUGAAAGAAAUAAUGAACUAGGAUUUAUCCUGGGAUCACAAUGGGCUUGAUUUGCAAACACUUAGCGAGGAACAAUUGGAGGGCAAGUCUGGUGCCAGCAGCCGCGGUAAUUCCAGCUCCAAUAGAGUAUAUAAACGUUCCUGCAGUUAUUCGAUGCUCGUAGUUGGAUUUCUGAGGUUGAGACGGGAGGGUGGCUAUGGCCAUCGCCCGACUCUUUCCUCAUCCACCUGUUUGCGAAGUCCGGGAUUGAUUUCUCGGCUUCGGGCGCAGUAUCUUACCAUUUCAAUAUUCGUAGUCUUCAUCGAUUAUGUUGUUUCUUUGAGCAAAUUAUAGUGUUUCAGGCAGGCGUGCGCCGGAAUACAUUAGCAUGGUAUAAACGAAUUGGACCGUGUGCCCAUAACUGGGCUUCUCCUUAUUGUUGGUUUGAAGGACACGGAGAUGGUUAAUAGGGACAGCGUUUAUUUCACAAGGAGGCAUUAGUAUUUAAUUUCCAGAGGUGAAAUUCUUUGAAACAUUAAAGACUAACUUAUGCGAAAGCAUCGUUUGCCAAUGAUGUUUUCAUUAAUCAUUGAACGAAAGUUAGGGGAUCAAAGAAUCACUAG
This 744-nucleotide ribosomal RNA is filed under the name uncultured ciliate. Its description in RNAcentral is "SSU rRNA". It matches the Rfam family "Eukaryotic small subunit ribosomal RNA", at positions 326 to 1011 of the family's 1831-position model. Lineage: Eukaryota; Ciliophora. The record is from RNAcentral.